RNAcentral lists this long non-coding RNA (883 nucleotides) under Monodelphis domestica (gray short-tailed opossum). RNAcentral describes it as "lncRNA (ENSMODG00000046691.1)". The record is from RNAcentral. Lineage: Eukaryota; Metazoa; Chordata; Mammalia; Didelphimorphia; Didelphidae.
GAGAAAGAGAGAGAGAGGUUUUGCAGGACUUGUGGACCAAGGUGCAACAGAAGAUUCCAAUGGAAUGUCCCCAGGAGGGACAGUUGGGAGUUUGCUGACCACACUCUGAGAGGAGAAACUUGGCUUGUGGACUUUGUCUCUGACUGAGGGACACACACUCUCUCCCUGGAGGUUUGAAGCUGGAACGUAUAAGCCAAGCCAGGCUGUUUGUACUCCGGGCCAUGUUCAACUAAUCUUUAUGGAAAUAUUCAGAUUGACUAAGUGAACUGGAGGGUUUUCUGUUUGGCAAAAUAAGGCAGAAGUUUUGAAGCCACUUUGAUCAACUGGUUUGCCUCAUUGUAAUAAGGAGUCACUCUUGCUUCCAGCUCUACAUAUGGGGAAACCAAGGAGGAAAUACAAUGUCAACCAAUCACCACGAAUCAGCAAAUACUUACCCAAGACUUCAUAUUAGAUGUUAAAAUGGAUCAGUGCCUUUCAGAGGUAAAGAAGAGAGAAAACUGGAGUGGAAGAGACCUGAGUUUAAAUACAGACUCAGGAACUCCAUAGCAAUACAACCUUAGGCAAAUUACUUAAUCCCUAUUGGACUCAGUUUCCCCAACUGUGAAAUGGGGGUAAAAACAGCACCUACAACUUUCUCAAUUUCUCUUAAUUCAAGUGCAUUCUUUCUGCCUACUAGUUUUUAUUUAUCCUGCAUUUAGCUUAUUUGUACAUUUUUUUUUUACUCAUUAUGAGCACCAAAUGAAAUAUCUGUAAAGGGCUUAGUGCAGCGUCUGGCACAAAUGCUUAUUUCUUUCCUUACUUCCUAAUUCUGCCUUCCUGUAAUUUCUAGUAAUUGUUCCUAGUUUUGUUUUGUGGGAUUGAAGCAGAAGUCUAUUCUGUUAUG